UACGGAGGGAGCAAGCGUUGUCCGGAUUUAUUGGGUUUAAAGGGUGCGUAGGUGGGGUUUCAAGUCUGGUUUGAAAGUUAGCUGCUCAACAGUUAGACGUGGCUGGAAACUGGGAUGCUGGAAUGGGGUGGCGGCUGCCGGAACGGGUAAUGUAGCGGUGAAAUGCAUAGAUAUGACCCAGAACACCGAUUGCGAAGGCGGGCAGCUACGACCUGAUUGACACUGAGGUACGAGAGCAUGGGUAGCGAACAGG
RNAcentral lists this ribosomal RNA (253 nucleotides) under uncultured bacterium. RNAcentral describes it as "partial 16S ribosomal RNA". It matches the Rfam family "Bacterial small subunit ribosomal RNA", at positions 524 to 776 of the family's 1533-position model. The record is from RNAcentral.